UACAAUGGAGAGUUUGAUCCUGGCUCAGGAUGAACGCUAGCGGCAGGCCUAACACAUGCAAGUCGAGGGGUAGAAUGUCUUCGGAUGUUUGAGACCGGCGCACGGGUGCGUAACGCGUAUGCAACCUACCUCUUACUGGGGAAUAGCCCGAAGAAAUUCGGAUUAAUGCCCCAUAUGCUCGUACGGCCUCAUGGUCGAGCGAGGAAAGCUCCGGCGGUAAGAGAUGGGCAUGCGUCCUAUUAGCUUGUUGGUGAGGUAAUGGCUCACCAAGGCUACGAUAGGUAGGGGGCCUGAGAGGGUGACCCCCCACACUGGUACUGAGACACGGACCAGACUCCUACGGGAGGCAGCAGUGAGGAAUAUUGGGCAAUGGAGGAAACUCUGACCCAGCCAUGCCGCGUGCAGGAAGACGGCCCUAUGGGUUGUAAACUGCUUUUAUACGAGAAUAAACCCUCCCACGUGUGGGAGGCUGAAGGUAUCGUACGAAUAAGGAUCGGCUAACUCCGUGCCAGCAGCCGCGGUAAUACGGAGGAUCCAAGCGUUAUCCGGAUUUAUUGGGUUUAAAGGGUCCGUAGGCGGGUCUUUAAGUCAGUGGUGAAAGCCUGCAGCUUAACUGUAGAAUUGCCAUUGAUACUGGAGACCUUGAGUGUAGUAGAAGUAGGCGGAAUAAGGCAUGUAGCGGUGAAAUGCAUAGAUAUGCCUUAGAACACCGAUUGCGAAGGCAGCUUACUAUGUUACAACUGACGCUGAGGGACGAAAGCGUGGGGAGCGAACAGGAUUAGAUACCCUGGUAGUCCACGCCGUAAACGAUGAUUACUCG
This 820-nucleotide ribosomal RNA is filed under the name Cryomorphaceae bacterium BACL7 MAG-120910-bin2. Its description in RNAcentral is "bacterial SSU rRNA". It matches the Rfam family "Bacterial small subunit ribosomal RNA", at positions 1 to 819 of the family's 1533-position model. The record is from RNAcentral. Lineage: Bacteria; Pseudomonadati; Bacteroidota; Flavobacteriia; Flavobacteriales; Cryomorphaceae.